UGUAUCCAGUUUUGGUCUAUCUUAAGUGAUUUCCGACCACAUUUGUGAUGGGUUUACAAUUCAAGUAAUUUUGUACCGUAGACUACUGCACCGCAAACUACUGAAAUUAAUCAGUCAAAGCAUUUAAAGAAUGUUGUGCUGUUUGCCAUCCCAGUGCAGCAAAAGUUUAAAGAAUAGUUUAGAAAGAAAAGGAGGAUGGUGUGGGAGGAAACAUAAGGGUAAAACGUUGACAUUAGCUAUAGGGCUUGUGGCAUCAAUCAGCAUGACAUGAAGUCAUAUAAAAUGAUAGGAUAGAGAUGUCUGAUUAAAGCCGCCGGAGACCACGGAUCAUUUUCAGC
This is a long non-coding RNA of Daphnia carinata, 338 nucleotides long. RefSeq lists it as uncharacterized. Lineage: Eukaryota; Metazoa; Arthropoda; Branchiopoda; Diplostraca; Daphniidae. The record is from RefSeq and is a predicted model, not a curated record. The transcript is spliced from 3 exons.